GGGAGAAGGGCUUGUGGGUCACAGGAUCGAUACCCAUCCCGGAGAGCUUCUUCUUCAGCUUGGUGUUCCAGUGGUUCUUCACGUCGUUGUCCGUGCGCCCUGGCAACUGCGCGGCUAUCAAGGACCACCUAUAGUGCCCCAAACCAGGUGUGACUGAGAAAUUCAAAUUAUGUUUUGCAAUUCAAUCAAAAGAAAAUUCUUUCUUUGGUGUGUUAAUCAGAAGAGAUCAGCUUUGGUAUUGUGCAAUUUGCAGUAAAAUUGUCACUGCCAACCGCUACAGCACCUUAGGUUGUGGGGCCAGCUAACCUUUCUGUGCUAGAAGUUUGAACAGCUAUUGCAGAAUUUAUGCCAAACAAGGCUUAUGCUAUAGAAAAACUAUAAUGAAUAAUUUUAAGUACCCAGAAGGGGUUUGCGCGUGAAGAUGCAGGUUUAAGUUGCAGUGGGAUGAUACAAGAAGCAUGAAGAAGAGCAUUGCCUGUUUCCAACAACAGAGUGCAGUUUGACUAUGGUUUGCUCUUCACACUCGGAGAACUCUCCAUGCUUGAGAUCAGGGCGGAGGUAGUUUGUCCACCGGAGCCGGCAACUCUUUCCACAUCGCUGCAGACCUAUUGCCCACGUUUGGCAAGUCACGGGUAAGUUACAUGCAACAAGUUUGUAAUUCUCACAUAUAGAAACUUCACCAGGAAACAGCUAAAUGCCUACUUGGCCUUGCUUAGAGAAUAUCUUCUUACUAAGAAGCAACAGCCGCAGUUUUGACGAACAAAAGAAUCCUAAAAAAUCUAGAGCUUCUGGUAUUUGGAAGCCAAAAUGAGUUUCCAGUCCAAUGAAUAGAAGCUACGAAAAUUUUUCAUGUAGUGGUUACUAGAAAUUCUACUUUUACAGCAUCCAAGCUAAACAGGCUUCUGAGCACAAAUCAAUUAAAGCUUUAGUAGGCACAUAGUCUACAGUAUAGGGCUGUGGAAUUAAUACGCCUGGGAUGAGGUUUGUGUAGCUACCAGCGUUCUUAGGGAUGAGACGCCAGUUGCGGGUUCCAUGUUGCGCGAUAUAGGAGGAUAGCUUGUUGUCUUCCUCCGGGGUCCACUGUCCUCUUUUUACGUUGUCCUUCUCACAACACGGGAUCCUGCCCAUUCUUAUCUUGCUGGCUUUAUCUCUCUUUAUAUCUAAUCUUAAUCUUACUACUCCCCUCUUCGGGCCUCUCUCUCUCUCUCUCUCUCUCUCUCUCUCUCUCUCUCUCUGGAGAUUCGCUGCACCUAACUAAUUAACCCACUCUGGAAAAGGUAAAGACUAGGAGAAAGAGGUUUCACCGUUCCUUCUUUUUCCCUAUUCUAUCUUUUGCUCGUCUUUGUAUUGUAUAAGGCGGUAGCUAUUAAUAUUAUUUGUCCAUGUAGAGAGAGAUGUGAGGAGGGAAGUGGGGGUUCACGUGUGGAUGCAUGGAAGGCUCAAUGAGCAUGAUUUGUAUAAAGAAUUCAACGCCCGUUGAGUGCGUGAGGCUCGGGGCAGGUGGCUCACCCACAAGAUGCCUGGUCAACCCUCACGUCUCUCUCUCUCUCCUCGUUGACCUCUGAAAUUGAGCAUCUGAACGGAAGUGCAGGUUGUUUCUACCCUUAAUUAUUAGCAUUUACUAACUCUUUGAUUGUGCGCGGAGCUUAUUAAGGUAUCUUAUGUGUGCUCGCUUUCGACGCCUGAGAUGAUUCUGCUAUAUUUUUCUUUUGCCCAUUUAUCUUGCUAUUGUGAUCAAUAAUAUUUGAAUAUGACAAUGCGUUCCGAGCUCACAAACUCUAGGCCUAAGAUGCAUGGGCUCGCAACUCCAAUGUUUAUAUUCAAGCAAAAGACGUGAUCUGGGAUUCACAUUGCAAAGAAGGCUUGGUCUUUAAACAUGCUAUGCUAUUAUUUCAUUA
Molecule: long non-coding RNA, 1898 nt
Filed under: Ananas comosus (pineapple)
Lineage: Eukaryota; Viridiplantae; Streptophyta; Magnoliopsida; Poales; Bromeliaceae
Description: long non-coding RNA (ACOM_LNC004579)
Source: RNAcentral